This 482-nucleotide ribosomal RNA is filed under the name uncultured bacterium. RNAcentral describes it as "partial 16S ribosomal RNA". It matches the Rfam family "Bacterial small subunit ribosomal RNA", at positions 28 to 507 of the family's 1533-position model. The record is from RNAcentral.
GACGAACGCUGGCGGCGUGCUUAACACAUGCAAGUCGAACGAUGAAGAAGAGAAACGCGAACUUCGGUUCAAAUUUCACUUCGGAUUAGUGGCAGACGGGUGAGUAACGCGUGAGCAACCUACCUCUUACAAAGGGAUAGCCUCGGGAAACCGUGAUUAAUACCAUAUGACACAUUCAUAAGGCAUCUUAAGAAUGUUAAGGCUACGGCGGUAAGAGAUGGGCUCGCGUCCCAUUAGCUAGUUGGUGAGGUAACGGCCCACCAAGGCGACGAUGGGUAACCGGCCUGAGAGGGUGAACGGUCACAUUGGAACUGAGACACGGUCCAAACUCCUACGGGAGGCAGCAGUGGGGAAUAUUGCACAAUGGAGGGAACUCUGAUGCAGCGACGCCGCGUGAGCGAUGAAGGAAUUCGUUUCGUAAAGCUCUGUUCUAUGGGAAGAAAAGGACUGUACCAUAGGAGAAAGCCCCGGCUAAAUACGUG